UACGUAGGGUGCAAGCGUUGUCCGGAAUUAUUGGGCGUAAAGAGCUCGUAGGCGGUUAGUCGCGUCUGCUGUGAAAACCUAAGGCUCAACCUUGGGCUUGCAGUGGGUACGGGCAGACUAGAGUGCGGUAGGGGUGACUGGAAUUCCUGGUGUAGCGGUGGAAUGCGCAGAUAUCAGGAGGAACACCGAUGGCGAAGGCAGGUCACUGGGCCGCAACUGACGCUGAGGAGCGAAAGCAUGGGGAGCGAACAGG
Molecule: ribosomal RNA, 253 nt
Filed under: uncultured bacterium
Lineage: Bacteria
Description: partial 16S ribosomal RNA
Rfam family: Bacterial small subunit ribosomal RNA
Source: RNAcentral